Odocoileus virginianus texanus is the source of this 579-nucleotide non-coding RNA. The record is from RefSeq and is a predicted model, not a curated record. Lineage: Eukaryota; Metazoa; Chordata; Mammalia; Artiodactyla; Cervidae.
GCAUGCCUAGGGAAUGACAGGCAUCUCCAGAGGCAGGCUGCAUCCACCUCGGCUGGGGUGUCGUCAUUGGCUGCCUAUUAGAAAAACUACAGGACAAUGCAUACCACCGAUGCCGACUGUAAACAUAGGGGAUAUGUGUUCACUUAGCAUGGACUUCUGGGAGGGGCUAAGGAAGGGCGGUCUGGAGUUUUAUUGAAUAGAGCAGUGUGUAUUAGGCUGCCUGCCUGCCUGCCCUCUUGCUCUGCUCCUGCUUAAAGAAAUCAGUCCUUCCUUUCCGACUUAGUCCCCGGGAAGAAGUUUCAGCCUACGAGAUCUUAAAGCAACUUGUGCUACUUCAUUUGAAGAGAAUCAGGUAAUCAUUGAAAAGCUUGAAGAUCAUCCAGCCGAAUUCAUAGGGACUGGUAAUCAACCAGAGGUUCACGAGCAGACAUUUGAUUGCUUACCUAUCCAGACAUUCUCUGGUCUCCCUAAACCUGAACCCACACCAUGGAUGAUUUUGAACGUCGCAGAGAACUCAGGAGGCAAAAGCGAGAAGAGAUGCGUCUGGAAGCAGAAAGGUAAGGUAUCUCUGUUCUGUUA